GUGAACGCUAGCGGGNAGCCUAACACAUGCAAGCCGAGCGGUAUGGAUAGCUUGCUAUCCAGAGAGCGGCGUACGGGUGCGUAACACGUGUGCAACCUGCCUUUAUCUGGGGGAUAGCCUUUCGAAAGGAAGAUUAAUACCCCAUAAUAUGGUGUCCGGCAUCGGACGCUAUUGAAAGCCUCGGCGGAUAGAGAUGGGCACGCGCAAGAUUAGAUAGUUGGUGGGGUAACGGCCCACCAAGUCGAUGAUCUUUAGGGGUCCUGAGAGGGAGAUCCCCCACACUGGUCCUGAGACACGGACCAGACUCCUACGGGAGGCAGCAGUGAGGAAUAUUGGACAAUGGGUGGAAGCCUGAUCCAGCCAUCCCGCGUGAAGGAUGACGGUCCUAUGGAUUGUAAACUUCUUUUGUACAGGGAUAAACCUGCCCUCGUGAGGGUAGCUGAAGGUACUGUACGAAUAAGCACCGGCUAACUCCGUGCCAGCAGCCGCGGUAAUACGGAGGGUGCGAGCGUUAUCCGGAUUUAUUGGGUUUAAAGGGUCCGUAGGCGGGCCUGUAAGUCCAGUGGUGAAAUCUCAUAGCUUAACUAUGAAACUGCCAUUGAUACUGCAGGCCUUGAGUAAAUUUGAAGUGGCUGGAAUAAGUAGUGGUAGCGGUGAAAUGCAUAGAUAUUACUUAGAACACCGAUUGCGAAGGCAGGUCACUAAGAUUUAACUGACGCUGAUGGACGAAAGCGUGGGGAGCGAACAGGAUUAGAUACCCUGGUAGUCCACGCCGUAAACGAUGCUAACUCGUUUUUGGAUCCUCGGAUUCAGAGACCAAGCGAAAGUGAUAAGUUAGCCACCUGGGGAGUACGUCCGCAAGGAUGAAACUCAAAGGAAUUGACGGGGGCCCGCACAAGCGGUGGAUUAUGUGGUUUAAUUCGAUGAUACGCGAGGAACCUUACCAAGACUUAAAUGGGAAUUGACAGGUCUAGAAAUAGAUCCUCCUUCGGGCAAUUUUCAAGGUGCUGCAUGGUUGUCGUCAGCUCGUGCCGUGAGGUGUUAGGUUAAGUCCUGCAACGAGCGCAACCCCUGCCAACAGUUGCCAUCAUUCAGUUGGGGACUCUGUUGGGACUGCCUACGCAAGUAGAGAGGAAGGUGGGGAUGACGUCAAAUCAUCACGGCCCUUACGUCUUGGGCCACACACGUAAUACAAUGGCCGGUACAGAGGGCAGCUACCUGGUGACAGGAUGCGAAUCUCGAAAGCCGGUUCUCAGUUCGGAUUGGAGUUCUGCAACUCGACUCUAUGAAGCUGGAAUCGCUAGUAAUCGCGCAUCAGCCAUGGCGCGGNNAAUACGUUCCC
This 1342-nucleotide ribosomal RNA is filed under the name uncultured Flavobacterium sp. RNAcentral describes it as "bacterial SSU rRNA". It matches the Rfam family "Bacterial small subunit ribosomal RNA", at positions 29 to 1375 of the family's 1533-position model. Lineage: Bacteria; Pseudomonadati; Bacteroidota; Flavobacteriia; Flavobacteriales; Flavobacteriaceae. The record is from RNAcentral.